GCCAUGUUUGCCUCCGGCUAACGGUGGUGUGUCACCUCAUUUUGUGAGCAAUUCCUUCACGCACGCUACAUGUGAGGACAGCAAGGAAUGCUCUGGGCGUCCGUGGUAUGCAUGAUAAAUGCCGCAUCGACCAUGUUUCCUCCUUGAGUGAUACCAUCAAGCGGUUAGGUGAAACCUACACACUUGAAGUGUGCCGAUCGCUCAUCCUCAGAAUUUGCUCUAGCACGAACCCGGUGAAAGUGGACACACUUUGUUGAAAGUCAUCCAGAGCCCGGUGCUCCCACUCUUUCUGGGGAGGCCAAGUAGCCCCCACUAUCCCAGCCACUGCUGAGAUAAUUCUGGCGGAGUCAGGCACAGAUACCUGCGAUCUAUUGGGGGGGGGGGGUCAGAGCAACUUACCGCUACUAGCGUCGAUGGUGAGCGCGGGCGCGUCGAAGGAAAGGAAAGGAAAUGUUCCUUCACAGUCGAUUUAUCGUCUGCUUUUUUUUUUAACCCCCCCCUCCUCGAUUCCAAGCCAAGCUUUACCUGUUUGAAGCGUCGAAAAUCUUGCGGACAGUGAAAGGGGCAAUUUCACGCUGCAAACAGACGCACUUUGCAUCAGCCUUAAUGGAAAAUCAGGCCGUGAUAACAGAAGGUGUGUUAAACCAUUUUCUGUGCGGCCCGCAAAAGGCUGCCUUAAGUUUUAGCCUCUGUGCGUUCGCUUCGUGAAACAGCACUCUCUGUCUUGCUAUUUUCCCUCUGGCGGCACUACACUGGUGGGCAAUCUAAAACCAUCGCACCUUUGGCGUUUCAGCUCACUUGUGCAAGCGAUGCAGGCAGCUGCAAAACGAGGAAGCAAUAUUCUCUUUCAAACAGUAUCAAGGAGCGAGCCUGCGUUGUGUCCGCCUCUUGUGCUUGAAUAAAUCCCUUCACGCAGCUUUUUUGCCAAUUUCCAAGGUAAAUAUAGAGAAGCGUGAGAUUACGUAUCCCUUGGCUGAGCAGAUGGGUUGCUCUUCAAUGCUCUAGUUCUAAUGUUUCGAUCAUCUCUACUUUUCUUUGAUGCGCCUAUUCACCAUUUGCACCUUUGUGCUCGCUGCCUGUUACAAAAG
RNAcentral lists this unclassified non-coding RNA (1088 nucleotides) under Leishmania donovani. Its description in RNAcentral is "gene:unknown". Lineage: Eukaryota; Euglenozoa; Kinetoplastea; Trypanosomatida; Trypanosomatidae. The record is from RNAcentral.